RNA transcript from Jatropha curcas, 2560 nucleotides. It is a transcript of the gene named serine/threonine-protein kinase CTR1, with no coding region annotated. NCBI's taxonomy places the organism in Eukaryota, Viridiplantae, Streptophyta, Magnoliopsida, Malpighiales, Euphorbiaceae. The record is from RefSeq and is a predicted model, not a curated record.
UAUACUAAAAAAAGAAUUUCCUCCUCUUCUCUUUUUUUCUCUUCUUCCAUGUUUUUCCUUUGAAGUUUACCAGUAGAAAAGAUUCUCUGGUCCACUAAUCGCUCUCAAGAAACCAGAAUUAUAAAAGAUAUGAUUUAAUUUAUUUCUUUUUAUCUUCAUUUGAUUCCGUAGCCGGAAGUCUUUUUCCCUAAUGGAGUACGGUCACUGGUACCGUGAAACGACUGCCGGAACGGCUAAAACGGCAUCGUUUAAUAGCUGGGCGCAGCAGACGGAAGAGAACUACCUGUUGCAGCAAGCGUUGGCUUUAAGGCUGUCAUCGCAGGCUGCAUUAGCGAAUGAUUCAAAUUUUUUGGAUUUCAAACCCGAUGAUCAUCUAAGAGGAGGAAUCGCUUCUUUUUCUAAUUCUGCUGAAGCUGUUUCUCAUCGAUUUUGGGUAAAUGGCUGUCUAUCUUACUUUGACAGAAUCCCAGAUGGGUUUUAUUUAAUUCAUGGAGUGGAUCCUUAUGCAUGGACUAUAAGUACAGAUCAACGAGACACGGGCCUGGUCCCAUCACUUGAAUCCUUAAAGGCUCUUGAUCCUUGUGCUGAUUUGUCAAUAAAAGUGGUGUUGAUUGACAGAUUCAGAGAUCCUAGUCUGAAGGAACUACAAAAUAAAGUUAUUAGCCUUUCUAGUUGCUGGAUAAGUACAAAAGAUGUGAUUGAUAAGCUUGCCAAUCUUGUCUGCAGUCGCAUGGGAGGUGUAACCUCUACUGAAGAAGAAACUUUUGGAAUAUGCUGGAAGGAAUGCAAUGAAGUUCUAAAAAACCGUUUAGGAUCUGUCGUGCUUCCAAUUGGAAGCUUACCUCUUGGCCUAUGUGUCCAUCGCGCCCUACUGUUUAAAGUGUUGGCAGACUCAAUUAACUUACCUUGUAGAAUUGCCAAAGGAUGCAAAUAUUGUAGAAGAGAUGUCACUGCUUCUUGUCUCGUGCAGGUUGGUAAUGAGAGGGAAUACUUGGUUGAUUUAUUUGGAAAGCCAGGAAUGUUAAGCCAGCCUGAUUCCUCAAUCAGUUGUGCUUCUUCGAUCUUAGUCUCUUCGCCGUUAUCUCAUCCAAGUUUUAAAGCUGUCCAAACAGCUGAGGAUUUAAGGACAUUGGCCAGACUCUUUUUCUUUGAUUGUCAGUCACUUAAUCUUGCAUUCGAGGAUAUUCCUUCAGACACUGCUAUUGAUCUAGAUGACAAACUUAACCAAACAUUGAAUAAAGACAAGAGGAACCCUCUACCCAUUUCUGGCAACAAUCAUGAAGCUGCAGCACCUCUGCUUAAAAGAGUUGCUGGAAACAUUAACCAUAGCAAGGAUCUCUAUGUUGUAAACUCAGUUAGUGACUCAAAUAGCCUGAUGAAAGGCCCAAUUCCCCUGAGUCCACUCCUACCACCUGGGCAUAUGGAUACAUAUUCAAGUUCUCUCUUCUCCAAUCUGAAGCCUGAUGCAUCAAAUAAUCAAUUGUUCGUGGAAGCAAAUCAGUUAAUAAUAAGUAAAUCAAGUAGUGAACUCCAUCUUGAAGAGGAAGAUUUGGAGAUCCCAUGGAGUGAACUGGAUUUGAAAGAGAAAAUUGGAGAAGGUUCCUUCGGAACUGUCCAUCGUGCUGAUUGGCGUGGUUCAGAUGUUGCUGUAAAAAUUCUCAUUGAGCAAGAUUACCAUGCAGAGCGCUUCAAUGAAUUUUUGCGUGAGGUUGCAACAAUGAAACGAUUGCGGCAUCCAAACAUUGUUCUCUUUAUGGGUGCUGUUACUCAGCCUCCUCACUUGUCUAUAGUUACAGAAUAUCUAUCAAGGGGUAGUUUGCAUAAACUUUUGCAUAUGCCCAAUGCUGGAUUGAUGCUGGAUGAGAAGCGUCGCCUUAAUAUGGCAUAUGAUGUGGCAAAGGGUAUGAACUAUCUUCAUCAGCUGAAACCUCCCAUUGUUCAUCGCGAUUUAAAGUCUCUAAAUCUCUUAGUGGAUAGUAGAUACACUGUAAAGGUUUGUGAUUUUGGUCUUUCUCGUUCAAAAGCAAAUACGUAUCUUUCAUCGAAGACCGCAGCUGGGACUUGCCUGUUCUUUUUCUUUAGCCUGAAUGGAUGGCACCAGAAGUACUCCGUAAUGAGUCAUCAAAUGAAAAGUCUGAUGUUUACAGCUUUGGUGUAAUCUUGUGGGAACUCAUGACCCUUCAACAGCCUUGGAGAACUUUAAAUCAAUCUCAGGUUAUUGCAGCUGUUGGUUUCAAGGGUCAAAGGCUUGAAAUUCCAAAAAACAUAAAUUCUUCAGUGGCUACGCUAAUUGAUGCCUGCUUGACUUCUGAGCCAUCAAAACGUCCAUCGUUUUCAAAUAUUGCAGAAACUUUACAGAAAUUGAUCAGAACUCCCAUUUCACAAGCGGUUAAUAGACAUGUUCGAUGACAAAUCUAUGUAAGUGGAAGAACAAUGAAAUAUCUAAUGCUAUAAAAUGUGCCAUCUAUUCGAUGCUCAUCUGGUUUAUCUUUCAGGUGCCCCAUCUUUGUAUGAAUAGGUCCUAAAUUAAAGCAUCUUUCUUAUAUUUUCUCUUUUGGCA